This 787-nucleotide ribosomal RNA is filed under the name uncultured Bacteroidota bacterium. RNAcentral's name for it is "bacterial SSU rRNA". It matches the Rfam family "Bacterial small subunit ribosomal RNA", at positions 65 to 843 of the family's 1533-position model. Lineage: Bacteria; Pseudomonadati; Bacteroidota. The record is from RNAcentral.
AGGGGAAACGGCAUUGAGUGCUUGCACUCUUUGGACGUCGACCGGCGCACGGGUGAGUAACGCGUAUCCAACCUUCCCAUUACUGUGGGAUAACCUGCCGAAAGGCAGACUAAUACCGCAUAGUCUUCGAUGACGGCAUCAGAUUUGAAGUGAAGAUUUAUCGGUAAUGGAUGGGGAUGCGUCUGAUUAGCUUGUUGGCGGGGUAACGGCCCACCAAGGCAACGAUCAGUAGGGGUUCUGAGAGGAAGGUCCCCCACAUUGGAACUGAGACACGGUCCAAACUCCUACGGGAGGCAGCAGUGAGGAAUAUUGGUCAAUGGACGGAAGUCUGAACCAGCCAAGUAGCGUGCAGGAUGACGGCCCUAUGGGUUGUAAACUGCUUUUGUAUGGGGAUAAAGUUAGGGACGUGUCCCUAUUUGCAGGUACCAUACGAAUAAGGACCGGCUAAUUCCGUGCCAGCAGCCGCGGUAAUACGGAAGGUCCAGGCGUUAUCCGGAUUUAUUGGGUUUAAAGGGAGCGUAGGCUGGAGAUUAAGUGUGUUGUGAAAUGUAGGCGCUCAACGUCUGAAUUGCAGCGCAUACUGGUUUCCUUGAGUACGCACAACGUUGGCGGAAUUCGUCGUGUAGCGGUGAAAUGCUUAGAUAUGACGAAGAACUCCGAUUGCGAAGGCAGCUGACGGGAGCGCAACUGACGCUUAAGCUCGAAGGUGCGGGUAUCAAACAGGAUUAGAUACCCUGGUAGUCCGCACAGUAAACGAUGGAUGCCCGCUGUUGGUACCUGGUAUCAG